AGCAGCCGCGGUAAUUCCAGCUCCAAUAGCGUAUAUUAAAGUUGUUGCAGUUAAAAAGCUCGUAGUUGAAUUUCGGGAUUAGUACGCUGGUCAUGCCUUUGGUAUGUACUGGUGUUACUGGUUCCUACCUUCUGAAGAACCGUUAUGUCAUUAAUUUGGUGUGGCGGGGAAUCAGGACUGUUACUUUGAAAAAAUUAGAGUGUUUAAAGCAGGCUCACGCUUGAAUACAUUAGCAUGGAAUAAUGAAAUAGGACGUUUGAUUCUAUUUUGUUGGUUUCUAGGAUCGACGUAAUGAUUAAUAGGGAUAGUUGGGGGCAUUAGUAUUCAAUUGUCAGAGGUGAAAUUCUUGGAUUUAUUGAAGACUAACUACUGCGAAAGCAUUUGCCAAGGAUGUUUUCAUUAAUCAAGAACGAAAGUUAGGGGAUCGAAGACGAUCAGAUACCGUCGUAGUCUUAACCAUAAACUAUGCCGACUAGGGAUCGGAUGAUGUUAAUUUUUUAAUGACUCAUUCGGCGCCUUACG
This 522-nucleotide ribosomal RNA is filed under the name uncultured Glomus. RNAcentral describes it as "SSU rRNA". It matches the Rfam family "Eukaryotic small subunit ribosomal RNA", at positions 569 to 1092 of the family's 1831-position model. The record is from RNAcentral. Lineage: Eukaryota; Fungi; Glomeromycota; Glomeromycetes; Glomerales; Glomeraceae.